UACAGAGGGGGCAAGCGUUAUUCGGAAUUAUUGGGCGUAAAGGGCGCGUAGGCGGCUUUUCAAGUGACGGGUGAAAUCCCUCAGCUUAACCGAGGAACUGCCUGUCAGACUGGAAGGCUUGAGACCGGGAGAGGUGAGUGGAAUUCCCAGUGUAGCGGUGAAAUGCGUAGAUAUUGGGAGGAACACCAGUGGCGAAGGCGGCUCACUGGACCGGAACUGACGCUGAGGCGCGAAAGCGUGGGGAGCAAACAGG
Molecule: ribosomal RNA, 253 nt
Filed under: uncultured bacterium
Lineage: Bacteria
Description: partial 16S ribosomal RNA
Rfam family: Bacterial small subunit ribosomal RNA
Source: RNAcentral